GACAAGGUAGCCUAACGGUAAGGCAGCACGUUGGAAGCGUGCCGUUGCGGGUCUGUCGCAUUCCCGGUUCGAAUCCGGGUCUUGUCGC
RNAcentral lists this transfer RNA (88 nucleotides) under Enterocloster clostridioformis. Its description in RNAcentral is "[Clostridium] clostridioforme tRNA-Ser(gga)". It matches the Rfam family "tRNA". Rfam says of the family: Transfer RNA (tRNA) molecules are approximately 80 nucleotides in length. Their secondary structure includes four short double-helical elements and three loops (D, anti-codon, and T loops). The record is from RNAcentral. RNAcentral also lists the same sequence under 1 other name. Lineage: Bacteria; Bacillati; Bacillota; Clostridia; Lachnospirales; Lachnospiraceae.